GGGCGAGUGCCGGAACUGGUAGACGGUCUGGACUUAAAAUCCAGUGGGAGUGUUCCUCCCGUGAGGGUUCGAGUCCCUCCUCGCCCA
Molecule: transfer RNA, 87 nt
Filed under: Candidatus Portnoyibacteriota bacterium
Lineage: Bacteria; Candidatus Portnoyibacteriota
Description: Candidatus Portnoybacteria bacterium tRNA-Leu
Rfam family: tRNA
About the family: Transfer RNA (tRNA) molecules are approximately 80 nucleotides in length. Their secondary structure includes four short double-helical elements and three loops (D, anti-codon, and T loops).
Source: RNAcentral